This 72-nucleotide transfer RNA is filed under the name Spirochaetaceae bacterium. RNAcentral's name for it is "tRNA-Cys". It matches the Rfam family "tRNA". From Rfam's summary of the family: Transfer RNA (tRNA) molecules are approximately 80 nucleotides in length. Their secondary structure includes four short double-helical elements and three loops (D, anti-codon, and T loops). Further hydrogen bonds mediate the characteristic L-shaped molecular structure. tRNAs have two regions of fundamental functional importance: the anti-codon, which is responsible for specific mRNA codon recognition, and the 3' end, to which the tRNAs corresponding amino acid is attached (by aminoacyl-tRNA synthetases). tRNAs cope with the degeneracy of the genetic code in two manners: having more than one tRNA (with a specific anti-codon) for a particular amino acid; and 'wobble' base-pairing, i.e. permitting non-standard base-pairing at the 3rd anti-codon position. The record is from RNAcentral. Lineage: Bacteria; Pseudomonadati; Spirochaetota; Spirochaetia; Spirochaetales; Spirochaetaceae.
GGCGCCAUACCCAAGUGGUAAGGGAGUGCUCUGCAAAAGCAUUAUACGUGCGUUCGAUUCGCACUGGCGCCU